Long non-coding RNA from Mustela erminea (ermine), 1030 nucleotides. RefSeq lists it as uncharacterized. The transcript has 3 exons. The record is from RefSeq and is a predicted model, not a curated record. Lineage: Eukaryota; Metazoa; Chordata; Mammalia; Carnivora; Mustelidae.
GCUCCCUGGAGCAGUAGCUAUGCCCCAGCCUAAAAUUCUCCCAGCUCACCUGCCCCAUGGCCAGAGCAUUUACCAGGAACAGGGCUUGGUGCCAAGUGCUUUCUGAGUGUCCUUUAAUCCUCAUGGUGACCCUGCAAAGUAAUUCUAGUAUCACCACCCGUGUGUCACACACAGGGAUACUGAAGGUUGGAGGUUUGCUAAUUGUCCUGACCCCUGCCUGUCUCCAACUUAACUGCUUCUGCCUCCCCUCCCUCCAGUCACGUUGCCCUGCCCCUCCAGGCCCUUCCACCAGAUUGUUAUCCCUGUCUGGAAAUAUCUUUCCCCAGAUCCUGACCUCCUGUUUAAAAAAGCCACCCAUCUGCCCCUGCCCCCACCAUGAAUCACAUGGGGGUGUGUUGAAGGCCUGUUUUCAUUGCUAGAGUAAAAGGCACAUGAGGGUGGAGAUUUGGGUUCAGCUCUGUGCCUAGAACUGUGCCUGGCACAUAAUAGAUGUUCAAUUAAUAUAUGUUGAAUGAAGGAACAGUGUGGAGGCCCUCAGCUGUGUUUCCUCCAAGCCCUCCCUCCCUCCCUGCACUGUCUCACCUCCCUGACUGUGGACUCUCUUAUCCCUGUGCUCCCCUCUUACACAGUUAGGAAUAGAGAUUAACUGGUGUUUGGUGGCUAUCUGCUUGCACCACUAAACUUUGAGCUGCUCAAGGUCAAGGCCUUGGUUCACUUGGUUCGCUCUUGGCUAAUGUCUGGCUCUGGAAGGCACCCCAGUGAACAGGUGAAUGAACCAGUGAAAUAGAAGAGCCAAGACUCGAACCGGUUCUCUGGUAUUCAGGCCCCCCUCUUAGCAUUGUGCUCCUUCCUGGUUUGAACCAGUUGGUCUGAUUCAAGCGCUCCAGAACAGCCGGUGUCCUAGAUCUGUGCUUCCGGCCAGCUCCUUUCUAGAGCUAGAUGGAGGCUUCCUGUGGGGCUGGUAAUUAUGUGGCUUGGCAACUUUUUGCAUUAAGCUUCACCAGUCUGCUCAAGAUGUUGCUUCCUUCUG